Long non-coding RNA from Maylandia zebra (zebra mbuna), 2304 nucleotides. RefSeq lists it as uncharacterized. The record is from RefSeq and is a predicted model, not a curated record. NCBI's taxonomy places the organism in Eukaryota, Metazoa, Chordata, Actinopteri, Cichliformes, Cichlidae.
UUUAAUGGCAAAACUGAUACCACUCUGAGGUUUCUGUGUUAAUUAUGGAGUGACAGAGAGGCACUGUUCAACUUUACUUAAUAUGAGGAGACAAAGAAGGGGAAACAAUGCUUUGGCGACAACAGUUUAACUUGUCAUAUGUUUUGAGUGGAAUAAACUAAGCUUUGGGGGACAAUAUGUGGAUUUAUGUAACUUUGGAAUGAGCCUGACUAACUGUGUCCCCAUUUCAAGACUUGAUUCCAUGUAUUUACCCCAAAGUCGUACUGUUACUUCAAUUUGAAAAGGAGGGCAAAUAACAAUGAGGCAUUAGUUUCUUUUGACUGAGGUAACAGAUCAUGAUUAAAUGUUAAACUCUUAACAGUAUACAUUUAUGUGGGCAACUAUUUAACUCCUCACAUUUUUGUAUAAAGAUUUGUCACCCAGUGAUGCUGUACUGACUCAGUAAUUCACUGAUGUAACUGUUAUCCUACAGAUACUGAAGAGGCUGUUUUCAAACACACUUAAUAAUCCGUCUGUGCUAUUUCUGGCCCUCUCACAUUUAGAGCGGGAGGCUUUAAAACGCAGUUAGGUGUCGGUUGAGGUGUGUGUGUACUAACGUGCAAUCACACAGUUAUGCAGGCUGUUCCGAGUGCCAGCUUAUGCACAUUUACCAAAGACUCUUCGGCAGAACAAGAGACGAGCACGAGAAGAGGAGCAGCACUAUAUUGCAAUAAGAAAGAGAAGGAACUGGAAAAUGUUUACCACUUUAUCACCACUUUAUCACCAGUGCAGUGACGGCCUUGUGGCCUCUGUCCAAACUAAUUUAAUCAAUUACAGUGAUUUAGGGGGAGGCAGGUUAGCCAGUUAGAAAUUAAAAUGUCAGUGCCUGGAUUGCUGCUUGGCCAAAUUCUGAGUAAGGAUUCUAAAAUGGGGAUGUGAAUGUGUCAACUGAAUGGUUAUUAGGCACCUGCAUUGUCAGCCUGUGUGAGCCACUGAUUACAGUCAGCACCAUCUUUCACCCCUGAAAUCAGAGCAAACCCGCCCGAAGCUUUUCCCUCCAGUGCUCUGCCUUGUUGCAUUAACUUCCUGAUAAUAUAGAUUUUUGGCUUUAUUGGACUCGUCACAUGUGGAAUGCCCCUGAGGUCAGAUCAUAACAAAACCCCAGUGCAGUCAGGGAAAUCAUGCAGGCCAUCAGCAGAUUCACAUUCAAUCGCUUCCCACUUUUCUUAAAUAUAAACGCUGCCUGCAAAAUAAACAGUAGUACCAUUAAACAAAAGCCAAACACAAGAAUGAAAAUAAAUUUUCAAAAAAGGCAAAAUCCCUCCUUUUUGAUUCUUCUCACACUCUCCCUCCAUGCGGUGGAGGUUAUCAAUACGCCUACAAUGCAUCGCCGGUGUGGAUGUGCACAAGCCCACGCCACUCUCCUACUAGAUUAAAUCACACUUAACCCCUUGAGGCUGUUUGAUUUCUCACUUUGCCUUUAAACCGAUUGUGCUUUUCCAUCUCCGCAGUCACAGGAGCAUUUUUUUAAACUCUUGUUUUGUUUUGUUUUCCUUUCCGUGCAAUGUUGCGCCUCUGAUGUUUCCUCUGGGGGAUAAAGUCUAGAAGGAGAAGGAGAGAUGAAACGCUGCAAAGACAGCGAAGGCUGUUCUCCCCACCAGAUCGGCUGAGGUCUGGCCUCUUUCUGUGCCAGCGUUAUCACAGCUAAGCCACAGGGCAUGUUCUCCAGAUUGCCUGCUCACUGUUCUCUAAUGGACUAUAAGAGGAUGGUGUUUCCAGAAAUGGACCGCAAGAGCUGCCAAGACCCAACUGUCUCUCUCUCUCUCUCUCUGAAAUCUGGUUAAACACUGAAACAGUCAGGCAUGCCAGAAGCAAUCCUACCCCGAAGACCUUUCCUUACAGUAAUUCAAGCAGGAAUAGUUGUAAACAAAAGUGUUUCUUUUUUGUUGGAUGUGGGUGGUAUUAAUGCAUGCCAAGAACCCUGGAAGAAGCUACAGUAUAGCUCCAGGGCAAUAAAUGUCUCCCCAACUCUGUCUGUGGUCCACCACAGUGCGCUGCUCUCUACUUCUGAGGUACAGAAGUAUUCUGUGCAGAUAAUAUGUUUCAGUAAUGAGCUAUCUCAGCACUAAUGGCUACUCUUUUUCAUCCUGUUCACUGUUCAAUUCAACUGGAGUGAAAAGCAGCAACAGAAUGAAAUGUAUCUGUAAAAUAAACCACCUUUCAUUUUAUAAAAAUGUCGUUUUAAAAGCUUAAAAGUCAAUUAUUGAAAUGCAAUUCAAGUACUUCUUCAUGUCUCGCUUGGAAUAAAAUGUCGUGUAACAAAGA